CCCAGCUCUGUCCAGGUUUGGGUGGCGAACUCCUCGGCCGAACUGUCCAUGGAGAGAUUCUGGCUGAAUCUAAACCCUUUUCGGUUCAGGCUGCUGCGUCGGGAUCGAUUCCCCUGAUAAAGGGGAUUUGCCCGGUUUGUAAAUGUUGGGGAUGAAAGGGGAGAGACGCCUCUAAAUCUUGCAGCACGGCGAAGAUGGACUGAGUGUGUCCGUGUACUCUUAGACCAUGGGGCUCUUGUUUCUUCUUCCACUAGGGAAUAUGGUCAUUCUGGGAGCACUCCUCUACAUUUGGCAGCU
Molecule: long non-coding RNA, 297 nt
Organism: Zingiber officinale
Lineage: Eukaryota; Viridiplantae; Streptophyta; Magnoliopsida; Zingiberales; Zingiberaceae
Exons: 3
Source: RefSeq, a predicted model, not a curated record